CAGUUUAAUUAAAAAACAUGAAUUUGUUAAGUUAAAAUACUUUUUUUUAAUCAAGUCAAUGUAAUUGUGCCUCUAGUUAUCUUUACAAAAUAAUAAUGUUUUGGACAAGCUCGAAAAAAUUAUGUCAAGCCAAUUAGGGUCGAGAUACUUCUUACAUCCAGAUGGUGGCAGUAAUGCAAUGCCAGGUGCAGUAAACCCCCGAAGAAGAAGAACUCUACACUGCGCAUGCGCAGAAGGAUCUGACCGGAGUUCAAAAAUUACUUUUUGGCGGCAGGCAAGUGGAAAGAGGUGAACAUUUAUCAUCAACCAUAUGUGUUUUUUUAGCACGACUUCCCACAACUUUGUAUAUUGUAGCUGUGACAACCUGUAUCUUCUCCCUCCUUCAUUGAGCUGGCACUGCUGAGCCUUCAUGUGAUUUGAAUGUGGCACUGUAAAGGUUGCAGUUCAAAGACUUUUACUAGGGGCCAGUUACUUAAACAUUAUAGGUUAAAACAUCCACAUUAUGGGCGCAGGCACCCAUAUCCUUGCCCAUAUAUCAGUUGUCCAUGUACAUUUAAAUCAUGGAAUGCACUUAGGUCACAUGUCUGCAGAGCUCAUAAUAGAGAGACAUCUCGACAAACAUUAUCAUUGGCCACAUUCAACUGUCAUGUUUGUGGGUUCUCUGAAGUUGCCUCUGAAAAGGAGUAUUUUGCACAUAUACAUUUGCAUCUCAAAGCCAAUGAAACAGUACCUUGUAUGUUCAACAGCUGUACUUUCACAACAAACAUUUACGGGACAUUUAAAUCGCAUAAAAAUAGAAAGCACCACGGCUACUCUUACAAUAACUUUAAACCUGGCAUAGUUGUAGUAAGAGACGGUUUUGAAAGUGCAAGUCUUUCAGGUGAAAAUGAAUACAAUGAAAUAUUGGAAGAAGCCGAGCUAGAGGAGCAGUCAAGUUUUCAGACAGACGUCUCAGAAAAUGUUGAGAACGUGAUAGAAAAAAAAUUUGCGGCAGUGUUGCUUAAGCUGGAAAACAUACUUCAUGUUCCCAGCAGUGCAGUCGAUGAACUUUUACAGGACUUGCACUUCCUGAUGAGUUCUGCAUCCCUGACUCCAUUAAAUGCCAUUGUUUCAGAUUUUUGUACUAAGCAUCAUCUUGGUCUGAAUGCGGCAGAAAUUGAGGAACUGGCCUCUGCUGUCUGCAUCUCUAACCCCUUGACAAAAGCAAUUGGAGAUCGAGGCCCAUUUUGCACUGCUUUUAAGCGGAAACAGUACUUCAAAAACAAGUUCCAAGUAGUUGAACCAGUUGAAUAUGUUUUGGAUGAAGAGCGCAACCAUACCUACCAGUAUGUACCCUUAUUGCAGUCACUGCAGCAGCUUCUAAGCAAAGACGGUAUAACAGAUGAUGUUGUAGAAAACUAUAGUGCUCACUCAAAUGAAACGUCACAACAAGAGUACAAGUCAUUUCAGGAUGGAGAGUUUUUCAAACAAAAUCAUUUCCUGUCUGCAGGGGAAAUGAGAAUAUGUGUGACCCUUUACAUUGAUGACUUUGAAGUGUGCAACCCCCUGGGUACUUCCAGAAAGAAGCACAAACUUUGCGCGAUAUACUGGAUUUUGAGCAACUUAUCCCCAGGCCAGCAUUCGUCUUUAUCAUCCAUCUACUUGGCAUUACUGUGUAAAAGUAGCUACAUCAAGGAAUAUGGAUAUGGAAAAGUGCUUGAACCUCUUUUGCGUGAUCUGGUUGUCUUGGAGGAGCAUGGGGUGUUUGUCCCACAAAUUGGAAAAAAUAUUAAAGGCACAGUACAAUGUGUGGCAGCAGACAAUCUGGGGGCCCAUGGCAUUGCAGGCUUUGUGGAGAGUUUUUCAGGAGAAUAUGUUUGUCGAUUUUGUAGAGGACGUUCUAGUGACUUUCAAACCAAGCCGGUUCUGUCUGGUGACUUUAGUCUUCGAUCCAAAGACAGACAUAAAGAAGAUGUUAAACAUGCAGUGGAGAGUGGAAAGCCAUGUGUUGGAGUGAAAAGGCCAUGUGUGUUGACACAAAAUCUUGCUCAUUUUGAUGUAACAACUGGAUACCCCCCUGACAUACUUCAUGAUCUAUUGGAGGGUGUUGUUCCAGUGGAACUUGCACAGUGUCUGGGCAUUUUAAUAUCCAAAAAAUACUUCUCUUUGGACUCUCUAAAUAAAGUGAUUCUCAGUUUUCCCUACAAGGGAGAAGAUAAGACAAACCGUCCCCAUAUUGUGCCACAAGCUUUUUUAAGGAAAAACACAAUAGGUGGCAACGCAGCGGAAAAUUGGACUCUCUUAAGAUUGCUGCCUUUCAUGGUUGGAGAUGUUAUACCUGAUGGUGAACCGGUGUGGGAGAUAAUUUUGGAUUUAAAAGAGAUAGUGGAACUUGCUGUUGCCCAGAUCCACACAGAAGAAUCCAUUGGAUAUCUUCAGUUCAAAAUUUCUGAUCAGACAGAAAUAUCAAGAAGUAUUUCCAAACCGAAAACUUUUACCAAAGCAUCACUACUUGGAGCACUACCCUCACAUGAUCCAAUGUUUCGGUCCUUUAGUUGGAGUCUGGACCAUGCGAUUUGAGGGAAAACACAGUUUUUUUAAGGAAGUUGCACGUCACACCAAGUGUUUCAAAAACAUUGCACUCACACUGUCAAGUAAACACCAGCUGAUGAUUGCCUAUCACAUACACUUAUUACGUCCACAGAAACCUGGAAUUCAAGUGUCAAGUAUAUCAAGAGUUCCUCUUGAUGUGCUGAGAGAUGAUCUAUUAUUGCCUAUCCAGCAGAUGUACCCAAACAUGGCUGAAGUACACAUGGCUAAAAGUGCAGAUUUUAAGGGGAUCAAUUAUAGAAAUGGAAUGAUAGUCAUCUGUAGAUUUACUGAUGGGCUACCUGAAUUCAGAGAGAUAAUAAGGAUAUGUGUAGUUCAGGAUACACUGAAUUUCAUUGUCAGGGCAUUCUCAGCUUGGUUUAGGGAGCACUACCGGGCCUUUGAACUGCAACAUGUCCAACUCGCAAAAUGUCCCUGAUAUCACAUGAAGAACUGGCAGAGAAGUACCCAUUACAUGACUACUUUAUUGGACCCCUUCGACUGGUUACGUUUAAAAGAUAUCCUUAUAUCAAAAGCGGAUGUUGAAUAUCAUGAGCACCUAAUACCUGUCAUCUUAUCCACUUGGACAAGCUGUAUAGUGACUACUUCUAACACUGUGACCGAAGCGUUUGGAUGAUGGCUGCACCAGUAAAACUGCGUAUUAUUCUUGGUGACAACAAUGCGGAAAAACUGACCAUAGAAUCGGGCAUGCCAGAGUCUGUGGAGGAUCUUUCAAAUGAGAUCAAACGUCAAUUUCUUAUCGACGGGGACAUUAGACUUCAGUACAUGGACAGUGACUUUGAUAAUAAUUUAGUUAACCUCAACCAAAUCAGCGAUAUUCAAGACAGGGGCACAGUGAAAGUCAUCUGUAUGUCAGAUGCUACAGACCUCAACCAAGGCAACAUGAACCAGAGUGGGGAAGGCACCUCUUCGUCAUCUUCAACAAUAAUACUCUCCAGCCCUGAUUCGCAAACUGCUCGAUCACAGUGGCCAACAACAUUCCAAAUCCCAAAGUUUCCAUAUGAUGUGGAGAUUCAACUUGAAAGCACAAACCAGGCCUUCUUAUCAGAUGGAGUUUUUUUUAACCCGGGUCACAAACUCAAAUCGGACAUCUUAGAAAGUCUUGCUGAGCAAAUCAUUAAGUUCAAAGCAUAUCCUUCAAACUUAGAUAUAGAAGAUGUUGCUGAAGCUUUAAUCAAAGCACAUCCAUGUUUGAGAGAACAAGGAUCAUUUAGUGGUUUCUAUGGAUGGAAAAUAAGCCUUAAGUACAAGAUGGCAAACUAUAGGACAAAGCUUAGAAACUUGGGGUGCCCAGAACUUAGCAUUAAUUCCCUUAAGCACAAACCCACAGAUAGAUGCCAGCCUGCCUAUAAUGUCAAAAAACCCAGAAAGGCAGAGGUCAACUUUUGUCCUUCCUAUCCUGCUGGGGAGACCCAGGACAGCCUUGAUGGUGAAAGAUUGGCAUUGUUAUCUGAGGUCAAGAAGAGACAUAACGAAAAAGUAGUCAAAGAGAAGAUGGCCAAGACCUUUGCAUACAGGAGGCAGGAGGUCGUCAGAGACAAGCCAAUGAUGGCAGAGUUCAAGAUCAGAUGGCCAGGACUCUUCACUGUUGCAGAGGUGGAGGCAGAAUUUGUGAGGAUUACUACUGCUCCUCUUGUCUCGAAGUUCCUUGCCCAACUCGACCAACACACUGCUCAGCUCAUAAAAGUGUUCGGGAAGAAAGGAGGCUCUGCUGGGAUGAAAAUCUGAAAAAUGUUGGCCCCAAUCACACAGGAUGAAACUGUUGAAAAGAGGAGGGAGUGUACCCUCAGGGCGCUCUGUGUCUACCUGAACGAAGACCCGAACAUCCUCUUUAAAGAAUACCUGGAUACUGACGCUGUUGAGAGGGAGCUUCAACACAUUAUUCUCAGCAUCUACAGCAUCAAUGUUGAGGGAGGUGAUGCCACCACUUCUCCAGCCGAUGUUGGAAUAGUGAUCGAGGGUGUUGAAGUUCUGCAUGACUUGAGAGACAUUGCCUCUGCAUCUGCACUCUUGAUGGGAGUUAUAUAUGCACUGAACCUCAGUUAUCCUCAGGAACUGAAAGCCUUCUUUGAAGUGCUUCAGAAGGUCUUCCUUCAACUUGAUUCUUCCAGACUUUCAAGCAAGGUCCAGAUGCUCAAGCACAAACUCUAUGAAUAAGCCAACCAUUUAUAUCGAUGCUGAAUGUUCUGUGGAAUAGCCAGCAAAGCUAUAUUUUGCGCUGUAAAUAAAAUGAUAAGCUAAAAACUACAAUUCAGUUAAAAAAAAAACAGUGAUUUAGCAAAUUUUAUAGAAAAUGUUAUAGUCUAGUGGUACUAUUUAGUAAAGUUUCAGAGUCAAAUCUAAGUACAGUAUUGACAUUACUGAUAGCAGUUUGUCUCUCAGUUGUGCCGCUCUGCUCGGCAGAUUAAACCAUCUGCUGGACAAUUGUGCGAUGAUUCCAUUUAUAUCUUUCCCUAAACAUUUUUGUAUGGUGUUAAAUAUAACAAAGUUAUUGUAUAUGUAUUGGUUAACACAGAUAUAUCUGUGAUAGGCCAUUGUCGGCCGAUUAUAUUAUAUAUAUUCUGCAGCAUUAAUUAACAUGUUAUGUUAUUUUCUCCACAAUGCUAAAAUGAAUGCGCGUUAACGUUUUGUUAGAUGUUACAAAACAUAGGAAAGUGGAAUUGUUGUAUUGUUGGACCAUGUUUUAAAAAUUGUUGGAUGUUUUUUGCUGUUGGACCAUGUUGCAAUGUUUUAAUAAAAAGUUAAAAAAAUAA
Molecule: RNA transcript, 5342 nt
Organism: Hippoglossus stenolepis (Pacific halibut)
Lineage: Eukaryota; Metazoa; Chordata; Actinopteri; Pleuronectiformes; Pleuronectidae
Exons: 9
Source: RefSeq, a predicted model, not a curated record